GGGCGAGUGGUGAAACUGGUAGACACGCAAGCUUGAGGGGCUUGUGGCCUUUUGGCUGUGGAAGUUCAAAUCUUCUCUCGCCCACAA
Molecule: transfer RNA, 87 nt
Filed under: Candidatus Falkowbacteria bacterium HGW-Falkowbacteria-1
Lineage: Bacteria; Candidatus Falkowiibacteriota
Description: tRNA-Leu
Rfam family: tRNA
About the family: Transfer RNA (tRNA) molecules are approximately 80 nucleotides in length.
Source: RNAcentral